This 460-nucleotide ribosomal RNA is filed under the name uncultured bacterium. RNAcentral's name for it is "partial 16S ribosomal RNA". It matches the Rfam family "Bacterial small subunit ribosomal RNA", at positions 338 to 795 of the family's 1533-position model. The record is from RNAcentral.
CCUACGGGGGGCAGCAGUGAGGAAUAUUGGUCAAUGGGAGGAAUCCUGAACCAGCCAUGCCGCGUGCAGGACGACGGCUCUACGAGUUGUAAACUGCUUUUGUACCGGGGUAAAAUGCUCUACGAGUAGGGUUUUGAAAGUACGGUACGAAUAAGGAUCGGCUAACUCCGUGCCAGCAGCCGCGGUAAUACGGAGGAUCCGAGCGUUAUCCGGAUUUAUUGGGUUUAAAGGGUGCGUAGGUUGUUUUAUAAGUUAGCGGUGAAAUACCGAUGCUCAACAUCGGGGCUGCCGCUGAUACUGUAGGACUAGAGAUCAGGUGCAGCAGGCGGGAUGUGUAGUGUAGCGGUGAAAUGCAUAGAUAUUACACAGAACACCGAUUGCGAAGGCAGCUUGCUAGGCCGGAUCUGACACUGAUGCACGAAAGCGUGGGGAUCGAACAGGAUUAGAUACCCUAGUAGUC